RNAcentral lists this transfer RNA (67 nucleotides) under Isodiametra pulchra. Its description in RNAcentral is "tRNA-Arg". The record is from RNAcentral. Lineage: Eukaryota; Metazoa; Xenacoelomorpha; Acoela; Isodiametridae.
GGAAUAAUUAAUUUAACUAUAAAAUACUCAGUUUCGGCCUGAGAAAUCACGUUGGUGUGAUGUUCCU